UUCUCGUUUUGGGUUUUCUCCUCUUUCUCUGGGGAGAAGAUUCUCAAACUUUUAGGUUAUCUUUGGUUCCUGGAAGCUCUUUUUUUUCAUUGUGGGUUUCAGGACUCUUGCCAGGGCUGUGUGAUCUGUUGAAGGUCAAAGAAACUGCAGGGUAUCAGAAGAGAGCCUUGCGUUUGUUUAAUUGAGUCCUCCCAGUCUGAAGAGAAGUUCUGUAGUCCAAAUAACCCAUGGCAAUACAGAGCAGAAGAGAGAAAAUGUAGGAAACUGUCAUCUGUGUUGGAAACCUUCUAUCCUGGAGCUUUCACAAGGAUCUUUUAUCUCUACAAAUUCUGAGAGCUGGGGAAGGUGUAAUGCAAUAUCAGGCUUAAUUUCUUUAUCCUAUCCUGCAGUUCCUUGCUUUCAAGCUUCUCUUCCAAGCUGAGAGCAUUCUAAAUUUCUAGACACAAUUGUAGCUCUUAUAGGAAAUUACUUAUCAUGAUGAUUGCCUCCCCAGCAGCAUCAUUCCCAUUUGAAAUUCACCAAUUUUAAAGAAAUGAAUUACACUAUAAUAACUUCAUUCUUUUUCUAAAGGCACACGAGUUCUUGACAAGCUGCAUUGUAAAGCCAAACCUUCCGGACAGUUUGACUCAGUAAUUUCUUUCCUUAAUACGUUCCUCACUGCACCAAUGGGCCCUGUUGUCUGGGAUUCAAGCCUUGGUUUUUCAAACAGCCAAAGGAAGAAGAAGAAGAAGAAGGAGAGGAAAAAAAAAAAAAAAAAAAGUUUUCAACUAUUUUUUAGGAACAUUUUUGCAUUUUUGUCUUUAUCAUGUUAGGUACUUCCAGAGCAAUGUGCAGUUCAGAGCUCAGAAUAGCUCUUGCUGAGCAGUCUCCCUACUGAUUCACUGCAGAUUUUACAUUAAGAAGUUCUUCAAGUUACUUUGAUUGGAGGACGUAUGGGACGCUUUGCACUCCCACUUGUAAGUCAUGCUGGGGGGAUGUAGGGAAGCACAGAUGCCUACCUGCUAUUCCUUCACUCACUCACAAGCCACUGAUCUCAGAUACUGGUGUGCUGGGCAGAAAAACAAAGCUAAAAUGUUUCUGCUCUGCUGAUCACCAGUAAUUGACAGUACUGUUAAAAAUGUCCAAAUAAAUGUUACGAGGAGUUUACAGAGAACUUCCAGAGAGGUUUUAGGGAGCAAAGUGACUUCCUGGGGAAGGCUUGAACUUCAGGGAGGCGGAGGACAACAAGCACAAACUAGAUGUGGUGGUUGAUGGGUCCUUGCUGCUCAACCCAAUGACCCUGGACUUGGAGGAUUGUUCCCUGUUGGUCCCAAGGCAAGUAUAAGAGGUGUAACUUGUUUUUGUGAAGGUUUUGGGUAGUAUAAAGCUACUGGCAAUGCACCAGCUGAACAGUGAGGAGAAAAUCCAUCCGUGCAACUCCUUAGAAAAAGGGCUGUUUCCCAGGAGGGCUUGGAGAAAGGUGUGAAGCCAAGAGAAAGCUUUCAUGGAUAUACAGCUGGCACAGCUGGAUCUAAUUUAAGCUGUCCGGCUUACUUCUCCCCAGAAAGCAAAGGAGAAAGAAGCAGCAGGAUCCAUGAAAGCAACAGGAAGUUUGGAUGUUGGACAGAGGAGGCAGCAGCUGUGUAAUUAUGCAUAACAAAGCAAUUUUAGGAGGUUUUUGCUCAUUCUUGUAUAGUAGCACAUCUUUUUGUGCCGCUGCAGCUAUAAUUUGGCUGCACGCUGAAAUGGAUCAGCAGGAGGUGGGGGGUCGUUAAAAAAUCCUUAAACAGGCACAGCAGUGGCAUUCACCCGGACCCCUCCAUAUGGAGACAUAUAGGUCCAGGCUGAGAGGUCAAUAGCCUCCUGCAGCCACCUCCAAUUACCAGCAGCCAGGUCUGCACACACUUCUGCAGGGAGAGGUGUGAGGUGCAGGCAUGCUGCUGGGCUGCUUCCAGCCAACAGACCCUUACUGGUGCCUGGUUUCAGAGCACCAAAAUGAACAAUGCUGCUUGCCAGUUGAGUCAUUUGGAGCACAGACAGCUAUUUUGGGGUAGGACUCAGCCUGCUAAUGUUGCCAUUAUCAACAUUUUAUACUUUUCCAUUAUGGAGCAUGUAGUGUCUCUAUCCCUGCUUUUGGAGAUAAGGGACUUACAGAUCAUUCAGGAACAUGAUUUGAGCAUCUGAAACUGCAAGGAAGCGGUAGUGUGGGUUUUGUUCUUGAAAGCUUGGAAUGUUACUGAUUACAAUGGAUGUGACAAUGAAGUUAAGGAGAGAAAACAAUGCACUGGAAAAUUCUGGAUUUGUUGUGAUUAUUGUAGGAGAAAUGAAUGGAAUGCAGAUGAAAAUGAGAAGACUUUGAAGGCAAGGCUUUUUUUUUUCUGUAUUAUAAAUGAAUAUCAGUGGGAACAGUCAUUAAUGUUUCAAACUAACCCCAGAAACACAAAUAUUUCAAGAAAGAAAGAAAAAAUCUCAGAGUAAAAGCCAUUGAAAGAGGCUGGGAAUAUUAGAAGGACUAAAGGAUGCCAGUGGGAGAUGUUUGGGCUAGAAGAGAUGUAGGAUGAUCUGUAAAAUAGAUGAACCCUACCUGGAUGAGGCUGAGCUGCCUCCCAGGAGCCCUCUGAAGUGUUUCAGAGCUUCUCACUUCACACUUCCUUUCAAUUUCUUCCUUGUGCAUCACUUAGUAAAGGAAUUUGGAGGUGUUUUAUUUUCCCUUUUGCAUAUUUAUAGCUGUUAGUAAAAUCAAGCAGGAUUUCUGUCAUUUCAGAAACUUCAAAGCAGUUUUAAUCUAGUGCAGCUUCAGAUCUACAGUGGGGCAGCAAACUGGUGCAUGUGGACUUGCAGUAUGGAUGAGGAGUCCCUGUCACGUCCCUGGUCCUCAGGGCCAGUGACCACAUUUCUCUGCACGUCCUAACAGGGUAUGACCCCAGAGAUGAACAAGAAAAAUGUGCAGUAGUAGCACAAAAAUAAAUGUGAAUGAGAAUUCUGAUCAUUCCUCUAUGAGUCCACAGUGUUGGGGAAGAAGGAAAAGCAAACUUCUCUUUCACUUUUACUUAUUGCUUAGCUCAGGUGUGGUACUGAGUGUCCCUUAUCCUCUUUCUCAAGUCCCUUGUGAUUUCUUUUCCUACAGACUAUUUUGGGAUGUGUAUCUGAUGCUUCAUCCUUCAGAGCUAUAACUCCUUUUGUAAUCCUGGCUGUUUGGAAAAGAUGCCUCCUGUGAGAGGCAGCCCACGGUGGUAUCUUCUGCAGCAGCCUCACAAGGGAGGGAUGCCCUCACUGUGCCAGAGCUCUGCAGUGUGUCAGACUGUCCUGAGAAGUGCGUCUGUCCAUCCUGGGGCUUACCAACUAUUCACUGAGCUGGGACCUAUGAGAUGUAUUUGGUGAUCACAGCCCAGUGCCAGGGAGGUGACAGCCAGCUGAACAGUGAGAUGUUAGCAGUAACAUUGGCAAUCAUGUGAUUUUACUCCUGCUCAUCCACAGCAGUACCACCAAAAGACCUGAGGAAUAUCAAAAUACUUUGUACAAGCAGUGGAAAAAAGCUUAAGUUAUGAUAAUUUGAUACAGUGGUGGGUUGCAAUAUUUAACAUAUUAGAUAUUUCUGGAGUUUUAUUUUUCUGGAAUCAGUGCUGGCACAUCCAGUGUGUCGACAGCCUUGUGAACAGGAGAGUAAUUAGAGUGGAUGAAAAGUCCCAGAUUUCUCAGCCUGUCCCCAUAGGGGAGGUGCUCCAGCCCUCUGACCACCUUUGUGGCCCUGCUCUGGAUUCUCACCUGUCUGUGUGCCUUCACCAGGGGAGGGCUGCUUCAACACAGCAAAAGAAGUUGUACUUGUCACCUUAUGUGUGCAUGCAAGAUAAUGGCAUCCAUCCAGUCAUCUCUUCUGCCCCCUCCACAAACUCACUCCUUUGUGGGAUAGCGGUGAGAACAGAAGCUCAAACCUUACUUUGAGGAGAUAGGCAGUCUUAGCAUCUUCCUUUCCCGUUGCUCCUCACAGAGAGGAUUUUAUUUUCACUUUGAACAAAUGCAUCAAAACUGUGCAGCACCCGUUCACCUCCAGGUAAGUUGUUCCUCUGUAAGGAAAGUAGAGCUUGAGGAAGAGGGCCUGAAACUGGUUAGUGAUGUUCUCUUUGGAGCAACUGCUUGAACAAGCUGUACACCUCCCACUCCAUUUGCAGACCAGCACCUUCCAAUUAUACAAUUCACUUCUCCCUUUGUUUGCUGAUGCCAUUUCUUCAGAGAAGUAAGCAGAUAGAAAUUGCUACAUUCUCUAUGUGUGUAUGAGCUUGUAGGCACCUCUGUCCACAGCCCUGCCUUCUGGACCCUGGUGCAGCAUCACCUGGGGCAAGGGCAGCGCCAGUCCACCCCAAAUGCAGAGUAAGCUGCAUUCUGUGCUCCCAGCAAGGCUGAGCAGCCAACAUCAAGUCUCAGCUUUGGAUCAGAAGAGAAUGAUGAUCUCAGUAGCAGGGCUUUCUUUUUUUUUUUUUUUUUUUAUUCCUUCUGAAUUUGGCCCUGAGGCACAGUUAUCAGCUCUGGAGGCAUCAAGCAUUGUAAUUUUCAACAGUGUGAGGUAAAAGCUGGUGGGAAAACAGAUGCAAAAGACAUUUAACCUGUUCUGAUUGGUCACGCUGAGCAGCUGGGCAUGAGGGGACCUGUGUCUGGCUCAGCUUUGUUUGUUGCUGUCAGAUGCAGAACUCUGCUCCAAUUCAAAGUAAUUUUCUGGAAUACAGUUGUGCUUGUCCUUUGGAGAUUGGUUCUUACAGUUGUUUUCCCUAAUAAUAUACCUUUCCCCACUAAAAUCAUAGACAAACCUGGCAAUAAGGGGAACUAGCAAUUCCACAUACAUUUAAAAGCAGCACAAAGAAAUGCCUCCAUCUCCUCAGCCCGGUAAGCAAAGAUAGAAGCAGACGUGUGGUGACUGUGUGAGAGCUGGGGCAGAGAUGCUCUGAAGAAUCCCCAUUGUGGAGGGUCAUUUUUCUGAGCACUCUGCUGGGUGCCCCAGAGGGAGAAAAAGUGUGUGUGAGGGCUUCAGAAAGGUGCUCAGAGCACCAGCAGGCUGAGCUGGAAUUUGUAUUCCCUGGACUGGAACCCUGCCAUGGGAAGAAUAGGCUACUGGGGGAGAGGGGCUUUGUUUCCUACCAUCUCCCUCAGAAGUGACAGCCCAAAAUACAGUUGUUUUAAAUAAUUUUCCUUGGUUUUGCAGGCAUCCAGACUUGGUGUAGUGAGCCAACAUUCACAGACUGUCCCCUUAUGUCAACUGCUUGGGCUGUGCUGGGAUCUCACCAAACCCAGCAGUCAGCCUGAGUGUGGGAGCAUGAAAAGAAAAGAGAGAGAACAGAACUGCACUUGAUUUCAUUGAAAUUUGGAGCUGACAGAAGCUGAAACAAAGCAGAAAUAAUGCAAUCAAUUGUCUGUGAAGUGCAUAGAAAACUGCUCUCCUUUACAGCAGAUUUCAGGUCUGUGCUCAAAGCCAUUCAUACUGUGACAGCUGAAUCCUGGCAGGUCAGUGAUAGCAUUGGGUAUGACACUAUGUUACCACAGGCAACAGCAGCCACAGGAGCUGAAUGCUCUUCAUGGCCUCUGUGUCUGAUUUCUUUCCUUUCUGCAAAGCCCCCCUCUGCCAAGCUCUAUGACUGUCCCCCACCUCUCCCUUCUGAGAGAGGGAGCUCAGCUCCAGACUGAUCUCAGUCCUGAAAACCAAAGGCAUCACCAUCAGCUUCCUCAGCUGAUGCUGAAUGGCUGAAGAGCUUCAGUUUUGUGUCUGCAUCAUUGAAGGUGGCAUUAACUGGAUGCUGAGCUGAGUCAGCAGGCAUUGGGGAAAGAAUCAUUUGUGGUCUCAGCAGUGGGGUCCUGUCUGGGUCAGAGAUGAAUCACUUUGACAAGGGUACAGAGUGCUGCACAUGGAAGGGGCACACGUUUGGGUGCUGCACUGAGUCAUGGCAGAGUUCACAGAGCUGAGAUCAGACUGCAGAAUUAUUGCUUCCUAAAUAAGCCCUGUCCACACCGAACACAUCAAUGUUAUUGCCAUCAGCAGAAAUAGAAGGAAUUAGUUGUCAGGGAGUGUUUCCAAUUUAAAUGUUAGCAGCUGUUAUUAUUUCAGUGAGGCAAAUUUUGUGAUUUUGAAUUUUGAAGUCUGCUCUCAGUAAAUUAGAAAUAAUUAUGUAACAGCCAGGCUGUGUCUGCAAUGGAUCUCAGUAGUUAUCAGGAGAGGAACACAAGCAGAAGACUGCCUGAUGUCAGUGGGGGUGAAGGGAUAUGCAGACCAGAACUUAUGUUUCCAAAUGCUGCAGACUGAGCCCCGGGUGCCUCCUGCAGCACACAGAGCUUUGGGUGCUGAGCACCUCACAUGGAAUGGCUGUGCAUUGCUUGGCUGUGAACCGUGUGGCUUAUGGCACUGCAGGCUUUGUGUGAAGCUGUUCUGUACCUCUACAUAAAAAUAGUGGACGUUUUGAAUCGUCAGCAUGUCUGAAAUUCAGGGCUGCAUUCUUUAAUUCACAGUCACUCCAUUAUCACCAGUCCUGGGGGGGCUAUGAAAUCCUUUAUCACGUCUGUGUAGUGUCCUGCACAAUAUCUGUGCCUGCUAUUCUUGCAUUUCUCACUCACAAGAGCAGUACUGCUCACUGCAAAUUAAGAGGAAUACAGCAUCCUCAGGGCAUUAAAGCAAAUAUACAAGGUAAGAAUCCCAGAUCAGAGCUUUCAAAGACUGUUCAAACUUUUAUUCAUAUCACACCUGCUGUGUAAAGGGAAAAAAGAAAUGGGGGAUUGGUGUACAGAUCGGGUUGCUUCUGCUCCUUCACCAAACUGUGUAUUUAAAAAGAAAGUACAAACUGCUGGCUUCUCUGGAGAACUGCAGUCUUCCAAGGUGCUGUCUGAUGCAAUUGGCACAUUGAUGGGAAUUUUAGUCAUUUAGACUUAAGAAAUGUAACGGUUGAAUUUUCUCCCUCUUGUCCACACUGAAGCAAUGAAACAUUGCAUCUUCCCCAGCUGUUUCAGCUCCAAACUGCAGAGCUCAGACAUUUUCCCUUUCAAACCAGAAGUCCUCGACUGACUUUUGCAGCCACGUGGGCUCACACUCAGCUCUGCUGUGCCCUUAGGAUGCUGCCCACUCCCUGUGGUUCUCUGCUGCUCUCCAUCAUUCAUCCUGACGCAGGGGGAAAUGGUUCAGACUGUGGAUGUGUGAGCAGCUCUCAUGACCUCUCAUGGGCUGCAGGAGGCCUAUACCCAGCACAUACAACUGUGCUUGUAGAGAAACAUAUGGGCGCACUGUCAGAAAGCAGAGAAAUGUACCUCCUAAGCAUGGUAGGUACUUUGGAACUAGAAAACUGUCUAAUGCAGUGGCCUUGUAUAUUUAGUAUCACUCACAUAUUGUCUUAUAAAAUAUUUACAUACCUCAUAAAUAUGGAAUAAAGUAACUUGUAGGAACCUGUAGGGACAAUCUUAUUCAGCUUUUCUAGCUCAUUAUGCAGGUAAUGAAAGCAUUUUCCCUCUGCUAAGCUUGUUACAUAAUGGAGCUUUUGUCACUGAAUUCUGACUUCAUCAGCCAAGCGCGAUCCAGACAGCUGAUGCAAAAAUCAUAAAUGGAUUAUGUAUAUUAAAGUAUUUUUCAUGACACUGAGGAAUGGAGAUAUCGCUAUCCGGGACUUUGGUUGAUCUGAACAAUUCAGCUGCAGACCCCACAUCUGUGUAAACGAUGUGACUACUCCCACUGGCAUCAUCCAAGCAUAAAAGAAUCCUCCUAGCUGAAGCAAAAGAUAUUACGAUCAAUUCAUUUCACUUUGGGCCCCCAGAACUGCUGACAUCCUUGGCUGUGGUCCUGGUAGUGCUCUGCCAAUGGAAUGUACCUGCAGUACUGUUAAGGAAGGGCAAUGUGAUGGAUCUGCCAGAUGAUGUCCUGGCCACGUUUGGGCUUUCUUUGGACAAGUCUCAAAAAUAGCUUUAUAAGUUGUCUCUUGAACUGUCUACUCCUCUUUUUUAAACAAGCAGGGCUAAUCACAAGAUGAAGCCCAGAAUUAUCUACUAGAAGAUGGAUCGUUGUUAAUGAAAUCCAUCGAUAAUGAAACUAUUGAUGUCCAGCACGCAGGGCUGUCCUUGGUGAUGGAUGGUGCUGGUUUGUGGGUGCACAAAGUGAAUGGCCUCUCCUCUCCCAGGCAGUUAUUUGCGAUCACUUUAAUUUCACACCAAAGCACAAUGGGGUAAAGAAGAGAUCUCUUUUACACCUCUGUUUACACCAGAAUUACACCUAUUUUACUCCUUUCUGAAUUCAAGUAUCUACAUCCUUCUACUGAAAAAGAGUUAGGGAAAUGAAGGCAUCUUAAUGUUUUUUUCCCUUAAAAUCUUCACAAGAGCAGACAGGAACAAGCACUUAAAAAUGCACACUGCUAAGGCUGUGAUAACAGGACCUGGGGAGAAAGGCUUCAUAGCUAUCAGGUUUUGGCAUGUAAUGAAGAUGAAUCACGUCUUUUGAAACCCUUUCUUUAAAAUUAACUUAAAUGAAGGUGCAGCAGUGAGUGUUCUUGACCUUGGAUACUUCUACAGAACGUACAGUGAAGAUGAUUGCUGAAUUAUAUGGCUUAUGUUUGUGAGAUGGGAAAAAGUGCCAACAGGCACAUGGAAGGUAUCCUGGGGCUAAGGCAGGCGGUGACACUUGACCCCAUCCUGGCUGGGUGGAUUCAUGCCCUUACAGAGCAGAAGCAAAGAGGAAAAAGCUGCAGCAGCACUCUGUGUGCUUAUGCCUUGAACUAGUUGUGUGCUAGGCUCAGUCCCAGUGAUGGGACUUAUGGCAAAAGACAUUCUGAAUGGCCAAAGGUGUUAUGAAUUGCCAGGCCAGUGCUGGGAUGCUGAGUCUGACAGAAAGGUGAAGCUGCCUUCAUCUCCAACACAUCACGAACCUGACUGCUGGUGCUGCAGCUGCCCACCUGCUGGCAUAGGGCUCUGAACUUGGGUUGGGGCUGCACUGCAAGUGGCUUUGUCUGGAGAGGAAGGGAAGAAGAUAAGGGAUUCCUGCCCUUGCUGUUUCUUCCUUUCUGCUCCUGCUCUCCCACCCUGCCUCAGUGUCCAGCUGGCCAACCUGUGAUAGAGUCACUGUGGACACCCAGCAGCAUCCUGGAACUUCUCAUUUCCACAUAGCAUUUCACUUUUUAUGAUGUGCUCUGCAUCACAGGGGGAUUGCAAAUGGGACAGUGCCAGGCACAAAAUGGGGAGCUCACUGGAGGCAGAACUCUUCAGAAGUUAUGUCUUGUCUGCAGACAGUUGUAGUCUGUCUGCAGAAACUCUAGAAGGCAGCAGAAGAAAGAUGCUGACAUUUAGUAAAGCGGCUGCACCCCAUCAAGCUUUUGAGCUGGGUACACAGAAAGGAGGGGAAGAAGAUGGGAAAGAGGGAAGAUAAGGGCACAUCCAUCUCUGUGUAUUUUGCUGCUCUGCUAGAAUCCGUGGAUGCCAGAUACUCCAAUCACUUGUCUGUGGGGCUGCAAUCCAUCUCAGGGUGAGCCAAGAGGAGAUACACUAUUGGCUAUUUCAUAUGCAGUGUGUCAUCUGGCAGGCUGUAUAUAUAGUAAGGAAAGCAGGGACCAUUCAGACUCUGAGCAAAGCUGCUUCCAGUGAAUAUCUCUGAGAUACUCUGAGGAUGGAAAGAAACAGGAAAGGCUUCCUCUGCUUUUUUUGAUUCUGAUAAGCUCUGAAAACUGUUGGGAAAUGCAGUGCUGAUUGGUGGAAUAGCAAUAAAGCACUUUUCCAAGGAGAAAUUGCGGGAGAAAAGAACAGUACCUGAAAGGAAAUAUUUUCUAGGAUUUCUUCCUACAUACAGAGAGGAAGAUUUUGGGUAUAUUUCAGGAUCUGAAUCAGCUCCUGUGUACAGGACGUAUGAGACUGAAAAAGAAGAGCAGCACCUGGAGAGUCCUGGAGCGCAGCCAAUGCAUGAUCAGCACAGGAAGAAGGAUCUGUUUAUCAACUCCUUUGUCUGGUUUGUAACUGCAGGGCAUAUUUUUAUAAUGCAAACAUGCAUAUUUCUCCCUGCAACCACUGAAUGCAGCACCUGAGCUCCCAGAAAGGAGGAGGGCAGGGAAAAGUGCUGCUGGCCCUGGAUCAGUGCUUCCUGAGCCAUGAGCAGGCACACGUGGUUCCCUCUGCAGUACAUUUCCAAGCCCUUCUGGAGAGCAGAGAAUCACACCAGCACCAGCUUCCUCUUUACACGGUACAGCUUCCCAAAUCAGUCCUUCUUCCACAGUGAUUUGGACCUGGAGGACUUGGGAGACUUUGACAGUGGGACCAAAUAUGAGGGCGAAUCCCAGAGCAGGACGGUGCAGGCGCUGCUGAUAGUAGCUUAUUCAGUGAUCAUCUGCAUCUCUCUCUUUGGAAACACCCUGGUGUGCCAUGUGGUGAUCAAGAACAAAAGGAUGCACUCUGCUACCAGUCUCUUCAUCGUCAACCUGGCUGUGGCAGAUGUGAUGAUCACCAUCCUCAACACCCCCUUCACACUGGUGCGGUUUGUAAGCAGUACUUGGAUCUUUGGAAAGCUGAUGUGUCAUGUCAGCCGGUUUGUGCAGUACUGUUCCGUCCACGUGUCUGUACUGACCCUUGCUGCCAUCGCUCUGGAUCGUCACCAGGUUAUCAUGCAUCCCCUCAAGCCACGUAUGUCUAUGGUAAAAGGAGGGAUUUGCAUCAUUAUCAUCUGGGUUAUGGCCAGCUGCUUCUCACUUCCUCAUGCCAUCUAUCAGACUUUGACAAGGUUUUAUAUCGGGAACAGAACAAUACGAACAGUAUGCCUCCCCAGCUUCCCUCCUCCUGCUGAUCUUUUCUGGAAGUAUUUGGACCUGACUACGUUUGUUCUCUUGUAUGUUUUACCCUUGCUUGUCAUCUCCAUUACCUACACCAUGGUGGCAAAGAAGCUCUGGCUGAGAAAUGCCAUUGGGGACGUCACCAUGGAGCAGUACUAUGCCCAUCAGAGGAAGAAGAAGAUGACACUGAAGAUGCUGAUGGUGGUGGUGAUUGUGUUUGCAGUGUGCUGGUUCCCUCUGAACUGCUACGUGGUGCUGAUCUCCUGCAGGGCCAUCCACAGCAGCAAUGCUCUGUACUUUGCUUUCCACUGGUUUGCCAUGAGCAGCACUUGCUACAACCCCUUCAUUUACUGUUGGCUGAAUGAGAACUUCAGGUCUGAGCUGAAGUCCCUGCUGUGUGUGUGUCGGCGGAGAAAUGCAGCCCAGAGCCAUGCCCUGCAGUCCAUCUCCCCUCCAUUCAGACCUGCCUGGUUCGAGAGUUGCCGUUACAAGAGAGGCAGCACCUGCCAGAAAACAGCACCAUCCCAAAGGAAUUCUACCAAGACAGACAUAUCCAGUGUUCAGCCAAUUGUGGCAGAACAGUAACCCCCAGUAACCCCUCACAAACAGGAGCCUCACCAACCUCAGGCAGGACUGUGUGGCUCCGUGCCUGGCCCUGGGAGCAGAGGUGCCCUCACCUCCAGGUGCUGGCUGAGCCACACACAGCAGUGUUAUCCCAUCGGGAGCUGCCAGACCUGGACUGCUAAUUUGGUUCAUUUACAGCACCGACACAGAGCCUGCAUCCCAACAUGGACCCCAGGCCUUUAUUGUAAGGAACAGAGGGAUGCACAGAGAGGUGAAGAGGUAUCGGUUGUCAAACCUCUUGUUUUUCACGGGAGGAAAAGGGAAGGAGAAGAGCAAAGAAAAUACACCGUGGAAAUCCACGCCCGUCAGACUCAGCGGGGAACGGCGGGACGGCGCCGUGCGUGGCCGCCAGGGGGCGCCACCCCACCGCACUGCCAAGCGAGGCCGCUAGAGGACGCUGUGACACCGCGGUCUCGGCUUGGCCCGCCCGGCGCCGCUGCUGUGAACGGGAAGGGCAGAGGCUGUGGUCAGCUCGGGCAUCUCUUUAAAGUGUUGCUUUUUCUGUAGCUCUGUGAUAGGAUGAGUGAAAGACUUCUCUGAGAAUAUUUUUCAAUCACGUCAGGAUGUGUUUAGACUUCAGAAAUACGCUAUGAGCUCGAACGCCGUUUUGGAACCCCGGGCAGCGGCAGCUGUGUCCGUGUCCGUGUCCGUGUCCGUGUCCGUGUCCGUGUCCGUGUCCGUGUCCGUGUCCGUGCCUGUGAUCGGCUCCCAUCGCUCCUUAACGCCGGAACUGAGGCUCUGCAGCGCUGCCCGCUGCCCUGGCACUGAUCUGCGGGGCCUCGGACGUACUGAGUGUGUGAGGAGUUCUGUAUCGAAGUUAAAAGGACGCAUUAAAAUAAAUGAGAUAAGGUAUCCUGGCUGCGUGCUCCUAAUGCAGCCCAGCCAGAUAACUACAAUGGGACCCGAGUUCUCAGCAGUGAUAGCGCAGGUCAGCAAAGGAAGCGAAGCAAUUACGUUCCAAACACACUUUGCCGAUGGAUCUCAGCGAGCUGGGUUGGUAGGCAGACUACGGCAGAGCCUUUUGUGCUCCCGACCAUAGAAAACAAUCAAUAGAAAAGCUUAACUUCCUGGACCUGCGCUGAAUGCUAAGUUAGCAGAAGAGUACCUCAUUAUUAUACUACUUUUUUACAAGGAAACAGUGGACAGAGGAAAUGUGACUCAGUGCAAACACUGGGAUAAAAAGGUACUGUGCAAAUGAACAAACAAACCACUUGCAAGCAAGCUCCGCUGAGUGCCACUGUCGCAUUCUUGUUGAGUCUCAGGGCAUUUUAGGACCCGCUCCAAAAGGGUUCUUCGUUAUUCAUACAGCUAAAAAUAGAGCUGACGUCUCAACCGCAGUGCUCAGCCAAAGCUCAGAGCCAAAGAACACUGAUUCAUUGAAUCCAAACCUUUGGGCUCUUCCAGAAAACCACAAGGUAAGGUGACAGAAGUUCCAGUGAAGUUGAUCCAAACGUUGACAACGUCAGCCUUUGUCCUCUGACAACGCCUCUCCUUUCCAGAUUAUGACUAUUAGCUAGUAAGAAUAUUGUAACUAAAUAUACACAAAAGCCAGAGAUUGCAAAACAGUCGCCCCGGGGAUGUUAAAACAAACAGAAAUCCCACAUGUAUUUUUCCUCUUUCAGUGUCUGCCAAGGUCCAAUUGCUGCUCUGAAGGCUGCUUUGUGCCAUUUUUGUUUUUUUUUUUCCUCCAUUCCUUCUCAUGAAUGGACUUUUGUCCACUCUCCUUCUACAACCUCCACAUUAGGCUUAGCAUCGUAAGACUCCAUAUUUUUCAUAUGGAAAGCCCGAUGUAUGCAAGGCUUGCUUCUCUCAGUUCACUGUCAGAGGAAAGGAUGAGAACAGAGAUACGAUCUCUGUCUGCUGGGAACCACUGGGAAAAAAAGGAGGUAACUGAAGAGACUUCUGGGGAGGAAUGACAAGUAGAGCAAUGACUCUCGUCAGAGGAGGGGGUGGGUGAUGCUGCAGGUUGCAGGCUGAGCUGCCUCAGGAGGAGCAGAAAGAAGAGCACAAACCCUUACCCUGCUUCCCUUACCGCAUCCAUCAAAGCCCCCUUUUCCACUGUUUUAGCAGCUGACAGCUGAAGAUAUAAACUUAGUCUCUUUUGAAUUAAUGCUGUGGUAAAACUCCUCUGAAGGAGCACUGCAGAAAUCACACCCACACCUCACUAACACCUACAAACCCUCAAUACUGACAGCAACUGCCUCAUGUUUGCAAAAGUUCUGGGAGCGUUUGAAGUGCUGAAUGCUGCUGUUCUAUGAUAUCUGCCCUUCCUUCUCCUCCCACAAGCGUUUUGUCUGUCUCAGUGUGAUGCUGCACUGACAGGCAGAGAGGAGCAGUGCAGUGCACAGCAGCACUGGCAGCACAGCUGCUCUGCGUUUGCAGCUUGGGAUCGGAUCUCACCCUUCACCUGUUGGGCUCCUUUGUUACUUCAGAACAAGAAAGUUUCAGUAUUUCAUAGGGCAUCAAAGACUUCCCAGCUUUUGGCUGAGAUGUAAGAACAAAGCACGCAAUUCUCAUUAUGUAUUUCAUCAUUAUUUUCCCCUCCUUUGUCAUUUCUAUCUGAAAGGGGAAAAAAAAAUAAAUCACGGGGUGUUAUUAAAAAUACUUAAAUCUUGCCAUCAUCUCAAGUUGAAACGACACUGCUUACAGCUGCUUUAAUGCACACUGCCAGCUCCUGUCACGUAACCCACAGCAUUGGUACUCAGUCAGUAAUGGGGAGAGUGGAAAGUCAUCAAAAAGUUGAAAGCUGAUAAAUUCAGUCUAACAAGAUUGCUCCACUCAGCCCAGCUGCUCUGCUUGUGCAGAGUGGUGCUUCAGGGCACAGAUGCUGAAGGCAGAGCCUUAUGGGAAGGAACAGCUCUGCCCACAUCCCAGAACUGUUCUUUCACCUCCCCAAAGCAAGACCAGGUGCGAAGUGCUGGCCAUGCCCAGGGCUGGCUGUGCUGUUCUCCUCUGGUGCUUGAAACUGCGCAAAGCUUGGGGGGUGUGGAUGCCACCUUUCCCCCUUUUCCUUGCAUUGCUGAGGAUAUGAGAAACCAAAGCUGGAGCAGGAGGGAUGUGGAUGCUGCUCCAGGAGGGGAGGCUGCCAUUAGGGCAGCAGCUGCUCAUGGCCAGAGGGGACACCCACCUGUUUGUGUUGGAGCAGGUGUCACAGCUUUAAAAAAUGAGGGCUUCUAUUGUCCCAAACUCAAAAUGUGCAUCAAGGUCACAACAUGCUGGCAGCAAACUGAGGCUGUGGAUCCUGCUAAAUGAAGUGAGGAAAGGAAUCAAAGCCUGUUGAUGAUCAGAUGUGUCUUUGCUAACUGAAACCACUCUAUGACUCUGAUGGCUGCCAGCUGGGAUGGUGGCAGUCUUCUGGUGCAGCUGCAUGCACCCCAGCAAGCUGCAUGGUGGUACCACUCAAUCACCCAGAGCUCAUUUCCCUGAGCCCCCACCUCCUGUGGCUCCUGUUCCCAGGCACCUGCUCUGCUCUCAGCAGGUGGCAGAGCUGCUGUGCCCUGGUGACAGGGAGGGGAGGUUGCUGCUGGGGCAUUUCCUUCUGACUCAUUCUUCUGUACCUCUCUUCUAAUGUCCUCAGUUGGUUCUCCUGCCCUGCAGGAGGACCAGUAAUGGUGAGCUUGCUUUAGGAAGCUCCAAAGAGUGGAUGUUGAACCAAGAUCCUUGGGGUUUUGUUGUGAGAGGCACCAAGAGGAAUUUGGAGGAAGCAUCCUGCAUUUAGGGAGAGCCAGGAGCUGUGUGCUGUAAGCACAUCUGUCCAGCUGGCAGCAGAAGUUUGAGGCUCUUUUCCAUGCCCUGCCCCUCCAGCAGCAGCUUCAGGGGUUCUAGGAACACCUUCUUAUGACUAGAACUGAGUUCUGCUUUGCUCACUGUCCCAAGGGGAGAUGGCUCCUGCCUGCACAUCUCAUGCCUAAGACUGAAAACUGAAGGGGUAUUUUUGCUUCAGCUGUGGUUCCUCUUUUAACAGAAAAGAAACAAAGCUCAGCUUUGCCCCCAGGAUAUCUGUUCCUUGAAGGACUUUAAUCUGUUUUACACUUUGCAGUUUUGCAGACUGACUGUUUACAAGAUCACUACUCUAAGUAUGAUUUUUCUUUUCCUUAAUUUCCUGAAACUCUUUAGGCUUUAACAGCAGCUCCUAAAGCAAAGUACCCAGCAACAUGCACUGCUCUAGGAAACUCACACUGUGAUGUGCUCAGCUCUGCAGUAAUUACUGUGUGUGUGUAUAAAUGUCAGUUCCACUUUCUUUGUGGCCCCAAAUUUAUUAAAUUAAC
Coturnix japonica (Japanese quail) is the source of this 15634-nucleotide RNA transcript. It is a transcript of the gene named G protein-coupled receptor 83-like, with no coding region annotated. The record is from RefSeq and is a predicted model, not a curated record. Lineage: Eukaryota; Metazoa; Chordata; Aves; Galliformes; Phasianidae.